Long non-coding RNA from Misgurnus anguillicaudatus (oriental weatherfish), 1600 nucleotides. RefSeq lists it as uncharacterized. NCBI's taxonomy places the organism in Eukaryota, Metazoa, Chordata, Actinopteri, Cypriniformes, Cobitidae. The record is from RefSeq and is a predicted model, not a curated record.
GAAAAUUACGCGGGAAACGUGGGCGGGGCCGGUUGCCAAGGUAGCAGUCCUUUCAAAUCCGUGCACUGCGAUCCUAGUGGGCGGAGCUACGCUCUACUACGAUGGCGGCGGGAGGAGAGCAGAUGUCGGACGGAGAAGCCCAUCCUUCUGGCUCCGUCCGUGUCUGUCAGCCAUGAGCACAUGUCUGAUGUGCGCAUUAAAGAAUAUCAUUCAAACUGAAUUUACCAAAGAAGUCCCACACAAAGACGUUUUUCUGAAACAGUCGAGCCGUACGAAAACCAUGAUGAAAGAAUUGCUCCAGAGCCCAAACAAGACCACCUUCACCACACAGAAGAACCGUCAAACUGCCCCUCUGACAACAAAGAUGAAGGCGUUUAAAACAAUGAAUGACAGACAUUAUAGUGAGACAAGAUUCAUAAAUCCACAUCAUACCUCUUUCUCCGGUUUGUGGAAAUGCUUUAUAAUGUUGUUUACUGCUUCACCAAUGGAUUCCUGUAUCUGAACUGUUGUUGGUUCUAGAGCAAGAGGAAUAUAUACAGAGAUGAAUGGCAUUAUACCCAGAGAGGAACCUUCCUUUAAAGGCUUUAUGGAGUUUUCAAAUCAUCAAAACUCACUGUUGCCGCGGCCUGUAAGUGACGUGAUGCUGAUUCUUCGAAUCUGUGACGGAGAGCGCUGAAGGGGCGGAGUCCGUCCCCCAUCUUCAUCGUUGAACGGUACUACAAGUUCACCUAUCAGAACCCUCUCCAGACUGCCAUCAUCAACACCUUUCCCCAGCCACCUACCACAUGGGAACCUGGAAGUGGUACAAAGUGAAUAACUUAUAUACCUUAAACAGAGAGAGAGAGAAAAUAAACGGGGUCAAGAAAGAAAAACAGGCUGUACUUGUAUGUAUGUCCGGUGAUCUCAUUGCGGACCAUGACGCAAUCCACCAGCCAUUUGGCGAGCAGGCCCGAGUUAUCGUGACCCAGCUGCACUGUUGUCAACCUCCCGAUAUUCUGACACUGUAAGACCAACGCAGAUAGAAAUGUCAGAAACAUUAAGUGGCUGUCUGUAAGUGAUGGACAGCCCGGUGUAAAAAUACACACCACAUUUUGAAAGUGGGAAGAGUAGGAGCACCAAGACAAGUGUGCAGUAUGCAAUACCUUAAUAAAGACAUUCAGGGAAGAUUUAAACUAUGUCAAUGCUGCCGUAAAGGGUAACCAUACCUUGUGUUAGCCAAUCAGACGUGUUUUUGAGACAGAACAAUCUGUUUUGCUGAACAAUGGAAGAGUUUGUAAGCCUUUAUAAAUGUAAAAAUAAAAUGAUUCCUUAAAGCAGUAUUAACACAUCUUUUUGUUUCCCCAAAUGUGCAAGUCAGUCAAAAUUGAAAGCUACAGAGGAAUCCAAAAGGAGAAAAAGAGGAGGUCGUUCCGAACGGAGGAGAGGAAAAAUGGAAGAUGAGAUGAAUAGAAAAGGAAGGACAAAACGGAGGGAUGUGCACCUAACCUUGAAGGCGAUGGAGAAGAUGCCGGAGUCGCCCAGCUCACCGGAUACACACAGCCAGGGGUUCGAUGUUGUCAUUGCGUUACUAAGCUUCUUGAUGGGAAUGAUGACAGCCCGG